This 1736-nucleotide ribosomal RNA is filed under the name Candidatus Pacearchaeota archaeon. Its description in RNAcentral is "partial 23S ribosomal RNA". It matches the Rfam family "Archaeal large subunit ribosomal RNA", at positions 1809 to 2987 of the family's 2987-position model. The record is from RNAcentral. Lineage: Archaea; Nanobdellati.
AAUCAGCAGGAAAGACUAGAAAGAUAUUUAAAGCAAUGAUUGGAUGAUUUUGUAUGUAUGGUAUUCAUCCUUUAGAGGCUUUGCGUGCUAUUAAUACACGAAGGGCAUUAGAUGCCAUGCGUGUAGAAGCAAGUGGAAUUCCUCGAGAUGAAUUAGAGAAUCGAGUAAAGAGAUAUGAAGAACAUCAGCAAGAUCUUCAGAAGGCUGGGUUUUUUAAAAGACUUUUCAAUACAACACCGAUGCCUAUUAUUUUAGGAAUCGGAGAAAAUAGCCAGCCCUAUGCUUAUGAAAUAGCGAGAGAAAUUUUAACACAAAAUUAAUUUUCUAGAAUCCUCAGAGACUACACGCUAAACAUCGAAAGAUGAAGAUAUAGUCCGAUCCUUAUAGCGAUAUAAGGUGUUGUAGAAACAACUAGAAAACAAACAUGAGCGUAAUGCCUUGUCUUCUGAAUGGAGACGUGCAUGAAUGGUUUAACGAGAUAGUCACUGUCCCUAACCAAUACCUUCUGAACUCACUUACCGGUGAAAAUGCCGGUGACGCCUUGUGGGAAGCGGAGACCUUGCUGUACUAUUAUAGUAGAUGCAUAGAAUAAGUAGGAGCGUCGAAGCUAGUUUUUUGGAACUAGUGGAGCGAAAUAUGUAAUACUACUCAUUUGUUGUGCUAGUGCUUACCGCGCAAGCGGGACACCAACUGGCGGGCAGUUUGGCUGGGGCGGCACCCUGGAGAAAAGAUAUCUCUAGGGCCUAAAGACAAGCUCAUCCGGGUUGGAAAUCUGGAGUUGAGUGCGAAGGCAAAAGCUUGUCUGACUGUAUUCCGAACAGCAAGGGAUGCAGAGAUGAAAGUCGGGCUUAGCGACCCCACGUAGUUUCUUAAUAGGACUCGUGUGUGACAGAAAAGGUACUCUAAGGAUAACAGGCUUGUCGCGCCCGAUAGUCCAUAUUGACGGCGCGGUUUGGUACAUCGCUGUCGGCUCUUCCUAUCCUGGUUGUGCAUAAGCAACCAAGCACAGGCGGCCAAGGGUGUCGGAGUUCACGCAUUAAAAGGGAUCGUUAGCUGGGUUAAGAACGUAAACAAUAAACUAACGAUACAGAAAAUCAAAGAUUUUCUGUCUGUUCAAAACAAGUAUAUUUUGAACAUAUUCCCGUACCAAUAGAAAAAUAAAAUUUUCUUUUACCGCAACUAUCAAAAAUACGGCGUUGCGUGCAAGUGAUUGCACGAAAAAUUAAAUCAGCUCAUAUCGGUGAAGUCUUUCUCUAAUAGAGAAUGAUAAUACCGAGGGAAGAUAUUCUCAUGAAGAAUAUCCCCGUAGAGACUUCAACUACUUCAACAGUAAUGUUGGAGUGACAGAAAUUAAAAAUUUCUGUAUUUCUGAAAUGAAUAGAACCCGUCAAGUUCGACAAAGUUGAGAAUCGUUCGUUGUAGAGUGAUGUCUACUGAAGAUUAUAUCAAGAAUGGUUAAGACGCUGAUCACUCAAACUCGUAAGAGUUCUGAGUUGAAGGUAUAGUCCAUACUAAUCGAAAAAAUUAAGAUUAGAUUAUAUACGUGAGACAGUUUGUAUGAUAUCUGCAAGGCGCGUUGUUGUUUGAGUGGAACGAGGAUUUAGUACGAGAGGAACGAUCCUCGGAUGCCUCUGGUAAGGCCGUGGAAGAAGACCACGUUGAUAGAGUUGGCGUGUGCGCCCUAAGGUAACGAGGGGUUUAGCGUACAACUACUAAUAGCCUCAAUAAAAUUUUUU